UACGGGAGGCAGCAGUGGGGAAUAUUGCACAAUGGGCGAAAGCCUGAUGCAGCUAUGCCGCGUGUAUGAAGAAGGCCUUAGGGUUGUAAAGUACUUUCAUCGGGGAGGAAAAAACAAAACUAAUAAUUUUAUUUCUUGACGUUACCCGAAAAAGAAGCACCGGCUAACUCCGUGCCAGCAGCCGCGGUAAUACGGAGGGUGCUAGCGUUAAUCAGAAUUACUGGGCGUAAAGAGCACGUAGGUGGUUUUUUUAAAGUCAGAUGUGAAAUCCCUGGGCUUAACCUGGAACUGCAUUUUGAAACUGAAAUACUAGAGUAUCGUAGAGGGAGGUAGAAUUCUAGGUGUAGCGGUGAAAUGCGUAGAUAUCUGGAGGAAUACCUGUGGCGAAAGCGGCCUCCUAAACGAAUACUGACACUGAGGUGCGAAAGCUGGGGAGCAAACAGGGAUUAGAUA
RNAcentral lists this ribosomal RNA (453 nucleotides) under uncultured bacterium. RNAcentral describes it as "bacterial SSU rRNA". It matches the Rfam family "Bacterial small subunit ribosomal RNA", at positions 340 to 784 of the family's 1533-position model. The record is from RNAcentral.